CUACGGGUGGCAGCAGUGAGGAAUAUUGCACAAUGGGGGGAACCCUGAUGCAGCAACGCCGCGUGGAGGAUGACGCAUUUCGGUGUGUAAACUCCUUUUAUAUGUCAAGAAAAUGACGGUAGCAUAUGAAUAAGCACCGGCUAACUCCGUGCCAGCAGCCGCGGUAAUACGGAGGGUGCAAGCGUUACUCGGGAAUCACUGGGCGUAAAGGACGCGUAGGCGGGUUGGAAAGUCAGGUGUGAAAUCCUACAGCUUAACUGUAGAACUGCACUUGAAACUUCUAAUCUAGAGUAUGGGAGGGGGAGAUGGAAUUUGUGGUGUAGGGGUAAAAUCCGUAGAUAUCACUAGGAAUACCUAAAGCGAAGGCGAUCUCCUGGAACAUUACUGACGCUAAGGCAUGAAAGCGUGGGGAGCAAACAGGAUUAGAUACCCGAGUAGUC
RNAcentral lists this ribosomal RNA (440 nucleotides) under uncultured bacterium. RNAcentral's name for it is "partial 16S ribosomal RNA". It matches the Rfam family "Bacterial small subunit ribosomal RNA", at positions 339 to 795 of the family's 1533-position model. The record is from RNAcentral.